Molecule: ribosomal RNA, 253 nt
Filed under: uncultured bacterium
Lineage: Bacteria
Description: partial 16S ribosomal RNA
Rfam family: Bacterial small subunit ribosomal RNA
Source: RNAcentral
UACGUAGGGGGCAAGCGUUAAUCGGAUUUACUGGGCGUAAAGCGUGCGCAGGCGGUCUUGCAAGUCAGAUGUGAAAUCCCCGGGCUUAACCUGGGAACUGCAUUUGUGACUGCAAGGCUGGAGUACGGUAGGGGGGGAUGGAAUUCCGCGUGUAGCAGUGAAAUGCGUAGAUAUGCGGAGGAACACCGAUGGCGAAGGCAAUCCCCUGGACCUGUACUGACGCUCAGGCACGAAAGCGUGGGGAGCAAACAGG